This 253-nucleotide ribosomal RNA is filed under the name uncultured bacterium. RNAcentral's name for it is "partial 16S ribosomal RNA". It matches the Rfam family "Bacterial small subunit ribosomal RNA", at positions 524 to 776 of the family's 1533-position model. The record is from RNAcentral.
GACAGAGGUCCCGAGCGUUAGGCGGAAUCACUGGGCUUAAAGCGUGUGUAGGCGGAUCGUUAAGUGCCUUGUGAAAUCCCACGGCUUAACCGUGGAACUGCUUGGCAUACUGGCGGUCUUGAGCAACCUAGGGGCAAGCGGAACAAAUGGUGGAGCGGUGAAAUGCGUAGAGAUGUGGAGGAAUACCGAUGGCGAAGGCAGCCCCCUGGGCCAAUACUGACGCUCAUGCACGAAAGCGUGGGGAGCAAACAGG